This 373-nucleotide ribosomal RNA is filed under the name Vairimorpha ceranae. RNAcentral describes it as "Nosema ceranae partial small subunit ribosomal RNA". It matches the Rfam family "Microsporidia small subunit ribosomal RNA", at positions 27 to 398 of the family's 1311-position model. Lineage: Eukaryota; Fungi; Microsporidia; Nosematidae. The record is from RNAcentral.
ACGCUAUUCCCUAAGAUUAACCCAUGCAUGUUUUUGACAUUUGAAAAAUGGACUGCUCAGUAAUACUCACUUUAUUUUAUGUAAAUUUUUAAUUAACUACGUUAAAGUGUAGAUAAGAUGUUUACAGUAAGAGUGAGACCUAUCAGCUAGUUGUUAAGGUAAUGGCUUAACAAGGCUGUGACGGGUAACGGUAUUACUUUGUAAUAUUCCGGAGAAGGAGCCUGAGAGACGGCUACUAAGUCUAAGGAUUGCAGCAGGGGCGAAACUUGACCUAUGGAUUUUAUCUGAGGCAGUUAUGGGAAGUAAUAUUAUAUUGUUUCAUAUUUUAAAAGUAUAUGAGGUGAUUAAUUGGAGGGCAAAUCAAGUGCCAGCA